GACGAGCGCUGGCGGCGUGCCUAAUACAUGCAAGUUGAGCGCUGAAGGUUGGUACUUGUACCAACUGGAUGAGCAGCGAACGGGUGAGUAACGCGUGGGGAAUCUGCCUUUGAGCGGGGGACAACAUUUGGAAACGAAUGCUAAUACCGCAUAAAAACUUUAAACACAAGUUUUAAGUUUGAAAGAUGCAAUUGCAUCACUCAAAGAUGAUCCCGCGUUGUAUUAGCUAGUUGGUGAGGUAAAGGCUCACCAAGGCGAUGAUACAUAGCCGACCUGAGAGGGUGAUCGGCCACAUUGGGACUGAGACACGGCCCAAACUCCUACGGGAGGCAGCAGUAGGGAAUCUUCGGCAAUGGACGAAAGUCUGACCGAGCAACGCCGCGUGAGUGAAGAAGGUUUUCGGAUCGUAAAACUCUGUUGGUAGAGAAGAACGUUGGUGAGAGUGGAAAGCUCAUCAAGUGACGGGAACUACCCAGAAAGGGACGGCUAACUACGU
RNAcentral lists this ribosomal RNA (496 nucleotides) under uncultured bacterium. Its description in RNAcentral is "partial 16S ribosomal RNA". It matches the Rfam family "Bacterial small subunit ribosomal RNA", at positions 28 to 506 of the family's 1533-position model. The record is from RNAcentral.